AGAGUUUGAUUAUGGCUCAGGACGAACGCUGGCGGCGUGCUUAACACAUGCAAGUCGAACGAGAAUCUAUGGAAAGAGGAUUCGUCCAAUUGAAAUAGAGGACAGUGGCGGACGGGUGAGUAACGCGUGAGGAACCUGCCUUUCAGAGGGGGACAACAGUUGGAAACGACUGCUAAUACCGCAUAACGCGUAGAGGUCGCAUGGCCUUUACGCCAAAGAUUUAUCGCUGAAAGAUGGCCUCGCGUCUGAUUAGCUAGUUGGUGAGGUAACGGCCCACCAAGGCGACGAUCAGUAGCCGGACUGAGAGGUUGAACGGCCACAUUGGGACUGAGAUACGGCCCAG
This 343-nucleotide ribosomal RNA is filed under the name uncultured bacterium. RNAcentral's name for it is "bacterial SSU rRNA". It matches the Rfam family "Bacterial small subunit ribosomal RNA", at positions 8 to 334 of the family's 1533-position model. The record is from RNAcentral.